AGAGUUUGAUCAUGGCUCAGAUUGAACGCUGGCGGUAUGCUUAACACAUGCAAGUCGAACGGUAGCAGCUCUUCGGAGGCUGACGAGUGGCGGACGGGUGAGUAACGCGUAGGAAUCUGCCUAUUAGUGGGGGACAACUUGUGGAAACGCAAGCUAAUACCGCAUACGCCCUACGGGGGAAAGGAGGGGAUCUUCGGACCUUUCGCUAAUAGAUGAGCCUGCGUUAGAUUAGCUAGUUGGUGGGGUAAGAGCCUACCAAGGCGACGAUCUAUAGCUGUUCUGAGAGGAAGAUCAGCCACACUGGGACUGAGACACGGCCCAGACUCCUACGGGAGGCAGCAGUGGGGAAUAUUGGACAAUGGGCGAAAGCCUGAUCCAGCAAUACCGCGUGUGUGAAGAAGGCCUUAGGGUUGUAAAGCACUUUCAAUUGGGAGGAAAAACAAGGGUUAAUACCCCUUGUCUUGACAUUACCUUUAGAAGAAGCACCGGCUAACUCCGUG
This 500-nucleotide ribosomal RNA is filed under the name uncultured bacterium. Its description in RNAcentral is "bacterial SSU rRNA". It matches the Rfam family "Bacterial small subunit ribosomal RNA", at positions 8 to 507 of the family's 1533-position model. The record is from RNAcentral.